RNAcentral lists this ribosomal RNA (346 nucleotides) under uncultured bacterium. Its description in RNAcentral is "bacterial SSU rRNA". It matches the Rfam family "Bacterial small subunit ribosomal RNA", at positions 8 to 352 of the family's 1533-position model. The record is from RNAcentral.
AGAGUUUGAUCAUGGCUCAGGACGAACGCUGGCGGCGUGCUUAACACAUGCAAGUCGAACGGAAAGGCCCUGCUUUUGUGGGGUGCUCGAGUGGCGAACGGGUGAGUAACACGUGAGUAACCUGCCCUUGACUUUGGGAUAACUUCAGGAAACUGGGGCUAAUACCGGAUAGGAGCUCCUGCUGCAUGGUGGGGGUUGGAAAGUUUCGGCGGUUGGGGAUGGACUCGCGGCUUAUCAGCUUGUUGGUGGGGUAGUGGCUUUCCAACGCUUUGCCGGGUAGCCCGCCUGUGCGGGUGCCCGGCCCCUUUUUUUCCGAGAUACAGCCCAGACUCCUACUGCGGACUCC